UUUUCUCCAGAGUGGAUACGAGUAUGAGUCUUGAGAUUGGCUGGCCGGUUAAACUGAGCUCCGCAGAUGUUGCAGUGGUACGGCUUUGCACCUGGAGGUUAAGAAAAGCAGCUGGAGGUGGAAUAAUCCGAGUGUAGCUUGGUGGAGUCAUCUUUGCUGUAUGAGUCAGGAGACAGGUGACCUGCUUCCAUACACUGAGGACUGUCGCAGCCACAUGUGGAGCAUCUGUUGUUGCUGCAACGAGGAAGACGAGCACCAAAGAAAUUCAGACAGCCCUUGGAUGUAAGAGGAGCCGAGGAUUGAUGACUACUUGUAUUUACAACGUGGAAGCCGAGUCCUGCUGGCACCAUCGCAUCUCCACGCACGCUCACAGGUUUCCAUUAAUCUCACCUCAAAGUGUGCCGUUGGCUUUGUUUGGCACAAAGGAUAUUUGGAGUAUUAGUUUAUACAAGUUCCAUCUCUGACCUGUUGCUGCAUGGCGUGCUGCGUGUGUGUGGUCUCAUAAUGUGAUAUCUCCACCAACUCUGCAAAACCAGCAGGACAGACUGCCGGCGCAGCAGCAACCACUUUGAUUUUCCACAGAAGAGUGAUUCACUCUCGAAUGAACACUUAGUGACCCAGAGCUUAAAGGCCAAGAUUAGCCCUGGCAACCGAGGCCCUCUGGGGUCCAUAAUCGAUGUUUACACCCUGCUGUUUACCUGAGCUCGCUCCCGUCCAUCCAGUCCAAGUCACAAGAGGUAUGAAGCAAUCAGAAUCAAAAAUGUGGAGGAUCAGAGAAGCACAUAAUAAAAACCGCUUAAAGGAAUAUCUCAACAUUUAGGCGGAGCAGGGAAUAUAUACUUAUUUUCUUAAAUAGCUAAAGCUGGACAGAAGAUUUUAAUGGGUACCACCAGGUGUUAGCAACCAUAAUAGCCAUUUAAAUUGGAAUAUCUAAGUAGUUUAAUGAAUCAACUCCCUUAAGACAUAUAUUUAUCAUAUUUUUAGAGUCAGAUAGUUAAAUUACUCAUUUGAUUAGUGUUAAAAAAUAUCCCAAGAAUUGGGGGAGCCUGUCUAAACAAGAGAAAAAGUAGAUGUUCAGCUGUCAUUUUGUACUGUUAUUGAUAUUUGAGCAUUCAUAAAGUUUUUAAUUGGGGAUCAGAUUUUAUGGUGUGCACUGUGAUUUGUGUCAAAAGUUCAGAUACAUUUUGAGCAGCUUUAGACCAAAGUAACAGCAUGUGUACUCUCAAGCCAUUAUCUUCAUGUACUUUUCUUUGUGUCCUGCGAGUGACACUCACAUGUUCCUUGUAAAUUGAAUCAGACGGGAACACCGCGUACACACUGUAUCAGCUUGGAUCUGGGUGCUGCGAGCUUCUCGGGACUGCUUUAGAACAAAACCUGUGCCGCACUUAGGAAUAAUGUUACAAAGUGAGAAAUUACAAUCUACAAACACAGUAAUAAUGAGAGUAAGGAGCACAUGCUACAAAAACACACAAAAAUAAUCCUGUUUUAGAGGACUACUAAAAGUUGAGAUGUGUUUGUAGCUGCUAUGAUUUGUGACUCUUAAAGUGCCUGGAGUCAAGUAUUCAUCAGUGGUUUAAGAAAACGUAAAUGGAAACCUUAAACGGAUCGUUUAACUUGUUGGUUUAAGCUUUCGACUCUUUUUUUUAGAAAAAAAUAACCAUAUACUGUAUAGAAGAGAUGGAAGUUGCCACUGUGAUGUCACCGAGUUGCCCAUGGAUAGCAAGUUGGCACUGGAGAGUAAUCUCCUGUUGCUAUCACUACAUACUGCAUGUUACUUUUUUCUUUGAUUAACAUGGUCCAUCAUAUUAAAUUGAUGCAAGUUCUGUGAGCAAUAUUUCCUUAUGUUACAUCGUAAUUUUUAAUCCAUAUUUUUGAAAUUGAUUAAUCUUGACCUUUACAUCUUUAAUUUUUUUUUACAUAUUCACUAUUGAGAUGUGCAUGACAGACAUGACAGGGUCUUCUAUUACUCAGCUGUCCUUUUACCAAUAUAAAUGGCCUACUUGUCCCCAAGGACCCCAAAGCACUUUACACAUCCAGUCAUCCACUUUCAUACACUGGUGAUGGCAAGCUACAGUGUAGCCACAGCCACCCUGGGUCGCACUGACAGAGGCGAGGCUGCCGGGCCCUCUGACCACCACCAGUAGGCAACAGGUGAAGUGCUUUGCCCAAGAACACAACGAGCGAGACUGUCCAAGCCGGGGCUCGAACUAGCAACCUUCCGAUUACAAGGCAAACUCCCAACUCUUGAGCCACAAGCCACGAUAUAAGGACUGUUCUGUGUGUAGUGUCACUGUUACAGACGUCACACAGUUUUCCACAUAACAACUUCACACAUACUGACAUGAAGAAGUGAUCUUUAGACAU
Molecule: long non-coding RNA, 2364 nt
Organism: Pelmatolapia mariae (spotted tilapia)
Lineage: Eukaryota; Metazoa; Chordata; Actinopteri; Cichliformes; Cichlidae
Exons: 3
Source: RefSeq, a predicted model, not a curated record